This 72-nucleotide transfer RNA is filed under the name Camelus bactrianus (Bactrian camel). It matches the Rfam family "tRNA". From Rfam's summary of the family: Transfer RNA (tRNA) molecules are approximately 80 nucleotides in length. Their secondary structure includes four short double-helical elements and three loops (D, anti-codon, and T loops). The record is from Rfam by way of RNAcentral. Lineage: Eukaryota; Metazoa; Chordata; Mammalia; Artiodactyla; Camelidae. RNAcentral also lists the same sequence under 2 other names.
GAAGGUAUAGUUCAGUGGUAGAGUGCAUGCCUAGCACGCACAAGGUCCUGGGUUCAAUCCCCAAUACCUCCA